GCAGUGGUGGUUCAGUGGUACAACUCUCAUCUUCCAGGCAGGAGACCCAGGUUGCGUUCCUGGCCAAUGCA
This 71-nucleotide transfer RNA is filed under the name Loxodonta africana (African savanna elephant). It matches the Rfam family "tRNA". Rfam says of the family: Transfer RNA (tRNA) molecules are approximately 80 nucleotides in length. The record is from Rfam by way of RNAcentral. Lineage: Eukaryota; Metazoa; Chordata; Mammalia; Proboscidea; Elephantidae.